This 1454-nucleotide ribosomal RNA is filed under the name metagenome. RNAcentral describes it as "bacterial LSU rRNA". It matches the Rfam family "Bacterial large subunit ribosomal RNA", at positions 1449 to 2925 of the family's 2925-position model. The record is from RNAcentral.
GUAUGACAGAACUGUGGGGACACGUAAGGAAAGCGGAAGCCGGGAAUGGAAAGCCCGGUGCAAGCGGGGUACCAGUCACUUUGGCAAAUCCGGGUGGCAAUGGGAAGCCGUGAUGCGGAGUGAAAUAAAGUAACGAAGUCCGUGAGCCAUGCGUCAAGAAAAGCCGCUAUCGUUUAUACCGUACCCGUACCGUAAACCGACACAGGUGGAUGAGGAGAGAAUCCUAAGGCCGGCGGAAGAAGCAUUGUCAAGGAACUCGGCAAAAUGGCCCCGUAACUUAGGGAUAAGGGGUGCCUGGGAAACCAGGCCGCAGAGAAUAGGCUCAAGCAACUGUUUAGCAAAAACACAGGUCUAUGCGAAACCGAAAGGUGAGGUAUAUGGGCUGACGCCUGCCCGGUGCUGGAAGGUUAAGAGGAGAGGUUAGCGGUAACGCGAAGCUUUGAAUUUAAGCCCCAGUAAACGGCGGCCGUAACGAUAACGGUCCUAAGGUAGCGAAAUUCCUUGUCGGGUAAGUUCCGACCCGCACGAAAGGCGUAAUGAUUUGAGCGCUGUCUCGACAAUGCAUCCGGUGAAGUUGAAGUACCAGUGAAGAUGCUGGUUACCUGCGCCAGGACGGAAAGACCCCAUGGAGCUUUACUCCAGUCUGGUACUGGGACUCGGUAUUGCAUGUACAGGAUAGGUGGGAGGCUAGGAGAUGGUAACGCCAGUUGCCAUGGAGCCGCUGUUGGGAUACCACCCUUGCAGUAUUGGGUUUCUAACCAGCCGCCGUGACCCGGCGGUGGGACAAUGCCAGACGGGGAGUUUGACUGGGGCGGUCGCCUCCGAAAGGGUAUCGGAGGCGCCCAAAGGUUCCCUCAGAAUGGACGGAAACCAUUCGAAGAGUGCAAAGGCAGAAGGGAGCUUGACUGCGACACCGACGGGUGGAGCAGGUACGAAAGUAGGGCUUAGUGAUCCGGUGGUAUUAAGUGGGAAUGCCAUCGCUCAACGGAUAAAAGCUACCCUGGGAUAACAGGCUUAUCACUCCCAAGAGUUCACAUCGACGGAGUGGUUUGGCACCUCGAUGUCGGCUCAUCGCAUCCUGGGGCUGUAGUAGGUCCCAAGGGUUGGGCUGUUCGCCCAUUAAAGCGGUACGCGAGCUGGGUUCAGAACGUCGUGAGACAGUUCGGUCCCUAUCCGGCGUGGGCGUAGGAUAUCUGAGAGGAGCUGUCCUUAGUACGAGAGGACCGGGAUGGACGGGCCGCUGGUGCAUCGGUUAGACUGCCAAGUCUACGGCCGAGUAGCCAAGCCCGGAAGGGAUAAACGCUGAAGGCAUCUAAGCGUGAAGCCCCCCUUAAGAUGAGAUAUCCCAUUCGAAAGAAGUAAACCCCCUUGAAGACGACGAGGUAGAUAGGGCAGAGGUGGAAGUGCAGCAAUGCAUGGAGCUGACUGUUACUAAUCGGGUGAGGGCUUGACCU